UAAAAUAUGGAUGUUGUUAUUCAGCCAUUGUGAGGCCAAUAGAUCAAGAGAGGGCUCAUUGAAAAGAUGGUUAAUUUUCUACACACACACACACACACAC
Lontra canadensis (Northern American river otter) is the source of this 100-nucleotide long non-coding RNA. RefSeq lists it as uncharacterized. The transcript is spliced from 3 exons. The record is from RefSeq and is a predicted model, not a curated record. Lineage: Eukaryota; Metazoa; Chordata; Mammalia; Carnivora; Mustelidae.